GAUGAACGCUGGCGGCGUGCCUAAUACAUGCAAGUCGAGCGAACAGACGAGGAGCUUGCUCCUCUGACGUUAGCGGCGGACGGGUGAGUAACACGUGGAUAACCUACCUAUAAGACUGGGAUAACUUCGGGAAACCGGAGCUAAUAACGGAUAAUAUAUUGAACCGCAUGGUUCAAUAGUGAAAGACGGUUUUGCUGUCACUUAUAGAUGGAUCCGCGCCGCAUUAGCUAGUUGGUAAGGUAACGGCUUACCAAGGCAAUGAUGCGUAGCCGACCUGAGAGGGUGAUCGGCCACACUGGAACUGAGACACGGUCCAGACUCCUACGGGAGGCAGCAGUAGGGAAUCUUCCGCAAUGGGCGAAAGCCUGACGGAGCAACGCCGCGUGAGUGAUGAAGGUCUUCGGAUCGUAAAGCUCUGUUAUUAGGGAAGAACAAAUGUGUAAGUAACUAUGCACGUCUUGACGGUACCUAAUCAGAAAGCCACGGCUAACUACGUG
This 497-nucleotide ribosomal RNA is filed under the name uncultured bacterium. RNAcentral's name for it is "partial 16S ribosomal RNA". It matches the Rfam family "Bacterial small subunit ribosomal RNA", at positions 28 to 507 of the family's 1533-position model. The record is from RNAcentral.